Molecule: long non-coding RNA, 1629 nt
Filed under: Paramuricea clavata
Lineage: Eukaryota; Metazoa; Cnidaria; Anthozoa; Malacalcyonacea; Plexauridae
Source: RNAcentral
GGUAGACACCAAGCAGACAUUGUAAUCUUGCACCCUUCCGGUGAAGACAAAGCAGCGUGCAUGCAUGAUCAUGUAUGCAAAAUAAUGACGUAUUACGUAUAGUAAAUGACCUUGCAUAAUCCCGUGAGUGGAUUAUAUGACUAAACAUUUUUCAAGUGCAUCGAUAAACUGCACUCUUUAACAUCGGAAGCCAACUUUAACGUGCAUUGGGAAUAUAUUCGCAUCUGAUUUUAGCCACGAAGUAGGUAUGUUGGAUCCACUGAAUACGACAGCGUUCAAUGUUUCCUCUGGUGAGCAGGAGAUCGAGAAUUGUUUCAUGACAUACAUCGUUCGUAAGCCAUCGACAUCGUAUAUUAUAAACAGCAUAUUUGGUUGCAUCGUAAACGCCAUCUUAGCAAUUCUAGGGACAUUUCUGAAUGCUCUGGUCGUGGCCGUUUUCUGGAAGACACCGAAAUUACGAAACAAGGUGACCUAUUUUAUGAUAAUGCUCUUAUCUUGUAUUGACAUGUGUGUGACAAUAAUCGUCCAUCCGCUUCAUUUGGUCAAUUCGAUAGCUGAGAUUACCCAGACUUCGCAGUGCAGUUACAAAAUGGUUUACCAAACGUCAGCAGUUAUGUUAUCAGGGAUGUCAUAUCUUACAUUUUUUGUUAUGAAUAUCGAGAGAUACAUGUCAAUUUGUCGACCAUUUUACCAUAUGAGAAACGUGACUAAAGAGAGAUGUUUCAUACUAAUGGUAUGUCUCUUGCCGAUUUCCAUAGGGACAGGAAUUGCUCCCAUAUUUGGCGUAGACAUUCAACCUUUUGUCACAGCCCUUGCAGUGUUAAUUCUAGGAGGAACUUUUUUUAUAUAUCUGUCAAUAUAUAAAGUGGCCAAAAAAGCACGAACUUCACGAUUACGUUCAUCAAGUCGUACUGGCCAAGACGCGUUCUCAGUCACAGUAGAAGAAACAGUUACACUUGAAUCACGUGACUCCACUAGACCAAGGAAAGCAGUCUCACUCUUUCACGAUUUACAACUUGCAAAAAUGUAUGUAAUUGUAGUUUUCUCUACCAUCCUCCUAAAUCUACCAAAUGCGCUAGUUUUAGCUUUGUUUAGUGAGCGAGUCGAGACUCUAAAUGGAGUAGUUCAAGCUAAAAUCUGGACACUAACAUUGGUUGCAAUGAACUCAACUUUCAAUUCAGUUGUUUUCUUCUGGGGCAAUGGAAGACUACGAAGUGAAGGUUGGAGACUGUGCAAAAAAUGUUUCAGAUUUUGAACGAGUGAACACUAUAAUGAACGAAUAUAAUGAACAAUUAUAAUGAACGAGUGAACAUUAGUAUUGAAAAUACCCUUGUAGUUUUAAUAGUAACACUCCGGGGAACUCGGUUAUGAAGGCUCUGACAUGCAGCCAGAGGCAGAUAUUGGUAUGUAUUACACACCUUAUCGAACCGACGCGAGUUUUCAGGAAAACAGCACUCACGUCAGCACGUGAUAACGUGUGUAAUGAGUAAGGCUGUAAUAGAACUUUAAAACCAUUCCGAGCUUCUUUUACUGCUCGCAAUGACUGUAAACUGUACUGUAUAUACAAAUGUAUAAAUAAAUAAUGAAAAUGUAAGAAUAUACAAUAAUACAAAGUUUAAUUUUCUUGUA